GAUGAACGCUGGCGGCGUGCCUAAUACAUGCAAGUCGAGCGAACGGACGAGGAGCUUGCUUCUCUGAUGUUAGCGGCGGACGGGUGAGUAACACGUGGAUAACCUACCUAUAAGACUGGGAUAACUUCGGGAAACCGGAGCUAAUACCGGAUAAUAUUUUGAACCGCAUGGUUCAAAAGUGAAAGACGGUUUUGCUGUCACUUAUAGAUGGAUCCGCGCUGCAUUAGCUAGUUGGUAAGGUAACGGCUUACCAAGGCAACGAUGCAUAGCCGACCUGAGAGGGUGAUCGGCCACACUGGAACUGAGACACGGUCCAGACUCCUACGGGAGGCAGCAGUAGGGAAUCUUCCGCAAAGGGCGAAAGCCUGACGGAGCAACGCCGCGUGAGUGAUGAAGGUCUUCGGAUCGUAAAACUCUGUUAUUAGGGAAGAACAUAUGUGUAAGUAACUGUGCACAUCUUGACGGUACCUAAUCAGAAAGCCACGGCUAACUACGUG
This 497-nucleotide ribosomal RNA is filed under the name uncultured bacterium. RNAcentral's name for it is "partial 16S ribosomal RNA". It matches the Rfam family "Bacterial small subunit ribosomal RNA", at positions 28 to 507 of the family's 1533-position model. The record is from RNAcentral.